This 386-nucleotide ribosomal RNA is filed under the name uncultured bacterium. RNAcentral describes it as "bacterial SSU rRNA". It matches the Rfam family "Bacterial small subunit ribosomal RNA", at positions 28 to 417 of the family's 1533-position model. The record is from RNAcentral.
GACGAACGCUGGCGGCGUGCUUAACACAUGCAAGUCGAGCGGUAAGGCCCUUUUGGGGGUACACGAGCGGCGAACGGGUGAGUAACACGUGGGUGACCUGCCCUCAGCUCUGGGAUAAGCCUGGGAAACUGGGUCUAAUACUGGAUAUGACCUUUCCUCGCAUGGGGUUGGGUGGAAAGUUUUUCGGCUGGGGAUGGGCCCGCGGCCUAUCAGCUUGUUGGUGGGGUGAUGGCCUACCAAGGCGACGACGGGUAGCCGGCCUGAGAGGGCGACCGGCCACACUGGGACUGAGACACGGCCCAGACUCCUACGGGAGGCAGCAGUGGGGAAUAUUGCGCAAUGGGCGGAAGCCCGACGCAGCGACGCCGCGUGGGGGAUGACGGCCU